This 155-nucleotide ribosomal RNA is filed under the name uncultured bacterium. RNAcentral describes it as "partial 16S ribosomal RNA". It matches the Rfam family "Bacterial small subunit ribosomal RNA", at positions 338 to 509 of the family's 1533-position model. The record is from RNAcentral.
CCUACGGGAGGCAGCAGUGGGGAAUCUUGCGCAAUGGGCGAAAGCCUGACGCAGCAACGCCGCGUGCGGGAUGACGGCCUUCGUGGUUGUAAACCGCUUUCAGCAGGGACGAAAAUGACGGUACCUGCAGAAGAAGCCCCGGCUAACUACGUGCC